CCGCCCGACGGGGGCCGCGGGGCGGGCGGGCCCACUCUGCCCGGCCGGGAUGGAACCGGGGGGGGUGGCGGUGCGGGGUUCGCCGUCCCCGAGGGCGGGGGCGAGGCGCCACCCGGGGCGGGCGGUUGUCAUGGAGACCCCCCCCACGGCUGGGCUGUUCCCGGUUGCGUCCUCCUCUCCCGCGCGGGCCCCCCCGGAGCGUAGGGGGGGAAGGGAUGGAGACCCCCCACCCCACCGCGGRGUCCUGGCUGGGCUCCCCCCUUCGGGACAGGUCGGCGGGGGCGGGGGGACCCCGGCGGCCGGAGCUGUCCACCGGGCGGCCGCUGACAGGCGGCCCCGGAGCCGCGGGAGCCUCCCGAGCUCGCGGAGGGCAGGCGAGGAGCCGGGAGCCCGGCACGCUCCGUCCCGGCGGGAUCCGCUCCCUUCCCUCCGGCCGCCCCGAGAGCCGCGGCUGCUCACGCACCUCCGCGCCGAAGGAAACACCCGGUCUCCAAGCGCAGCAGCAGCAGCUAAAUGUCUCGGUCCUUUUCUUGUUGUGAGGAAGUGA
This 547-nucleotide long non-coding RNA is filed under the name Apteryx haastii (Great spotted kiwi). RNAcentral describes it as "lncRNA (ENSAHAG00000004398.1)". Lineage: Eukaryota; Metazoa; Chordata; Aves; Apterygiformes; Apterygidae. The record is from RNAcentral.